UACGAAGGGGGUGAGCGUUGUUCGGAUUUACUGGGCGUAAAGGGCGCGUAGGCGGCCCUCCUUGUCGCGUGUGAAAGCCCCGGGCUCAACCUGGGAAUUGCGCGCGAAACGGGCGGGCUCGAGUUCGGGAGAGGAGCGUGGAAUUCCCAGUGUAGAGGUGAAAUUCGUAGAUAUUCGGAAGAACACCAGUGGCGAAGGCGACUUACUGGACACAUAUUGACGCUGAGGUGCGAAAGCGUGGGGAGCAAACAGG
This 253-nucleotide ribosomal RNA is filed under the name uncultured prokaryote. RNAcentral describes it as "partial 16S ribosomal RNA". It matches the Rfam family "Bacterial small subunit ribosomal RNA", at positions 524 to 776 of the family's 1533-position model. The record is from RNAcentral.